Molecule: ribosomal RNA, 945 nt
Filed under: Sphaerophorus globosus
Lineage: Eukaryota; Fungi; Ascomycota; Lecanoromycetes; Lecanorales; Sphaerophoraceae
Description: eukaryotic LSU rRNA
Rfam family: Eukaryotic large subunit ribosomal RNA
Source: RNAcentral
GAUUGACCUCGGAUCAGGUAGGGAUACCCGCUGAACUUAAGCAUAUCAAUAAGCGGAGGAAAAGAAACCAACAGGGAUUGCCUCAGUAACGGCGAGUGAAGCGGCAACAGCUCAAAUUUGAAAUCUGGCUCCUUCGGGGCCCGAGUUGUAAUUUGUAGAGGACGUUUCGGGUGCGGCCCGGUCUAAGUCCCUUGGAACAGGGCGUCAUAGAGGGUGAGAAUCCCGUAUGUGACCGGUGACCAACCCCAUGUGAAACCCCUUCGACGAGUCGAGUUGUUUGGGAAUGCAGCUCAAAAUGGGUGGUAAAUUCCAUCUAAAGCUAAAUACUGGCCAGAGACCGAUAGCGCACAAGUAGAGUGAUCGAAAGAUGAAAAGCACUUUGGAAAGAGAGUCAAACAGUACGUGAAAUUGUUGAAAGGGAAGCGCUGGCAACCAGACCUGCCCCGGGCGAUCAGCGGGUGUUCUCACCCGUGCACUCGCCCGCGAUCAGGCCAGCAUCGGUUUCGGCGGUCGGAUACAGACCCGGGGAACGUGGCUCUCUUCGGGGAGUGUUAUAGCCCCGGGUGCAAUGCGGCCAGCCGGGACCGAGGACCGCGCUUCGGCUAGGAUGCUGGCGUAAUGGUUGUCAGCGACCCGUCUUGAAACACGGACCAAGGAGUCUAACAUCUAUGCGAGUGUUUGGGUGUCAAACCCAUACGCGGAAUGAAAGUGAACGCAGGUGGGAGCCCCCCCGGGGUGCACCAUCGACCGAUCCUGAUGUCUUCGGAUGGAUUUGAGUAUGAGCAUACAUGUUGGGACCCGAAAGAUGGUGAACUAUACCUGAAUAGGGUGAAGCCAGAGGAAACUCUGGUGGAGGCUCGCAGCGGUUCUGACGUGCAAAUCGAUCGUCAAAUUUGGGUAUAGGGGCGAAAGACUAAUCGAACCAUCUAGUAGCUGGUUCCUGCC